CCCUUAGAUGUUCUGGGCUGCACGCGCGCUCCACUGAUGCGAUCAACAAGUUUUUCCUAUGUCGAUAGACACGGGUAAUCUUUUGAACUCGCAUCGUGAUGGGGAUAGAUUAUUGUAAUUAUUAAUCUUCAACGAGGAAUUCCUAGUAGGUGCAAAUCAUCAGUUUGCAUCGAUUACGUCCCUGCCCUUUGUACACACCGCCCGUCGCUGCUACCGAUUGGUUGAUCUGGUGAAUUAUUCGGACUGCCGGCUGAAGGGGUUUCCUCAUCUGCCAGCGGAAAGUCUUGUUAACCCUAUCAACUAGAGGAAGCAGAAGUCGUAACA
RNAcentral lists this ribosomal RNA (324 nucleotides) under uncultured eukaryote. Its description in RNAcentral is "partial 18S ribosomal RNA". It matches the Rfam family "Eukaryotic small subunit ribosomal RNA", at positions 1470 to 1796 of the family's 1831-position model. The record is from RNAcentral.